GUAGACGGUUGCCCCACGUGAAGCGAGACCCUCAGCAGUUGCGAAACCUAUGCCAGAAUUUGCACCUGUGACAAUGCAAUUCUUUCCUUCCAUUUGAACUUGCAUAUCUUCUGGCUUGAAAUUCUUUGCAUGUUCCGAAAAAGCAGAUUUAGUGAAAUUCAUAUUUCCAUAAAGCCCAAAUACCGAAGCUCUCAAUGUCUUGACAAUAAACAUGAUGAGAAUUGAA
This 226-nucleotide unclassified non-coding RNA is filed under the name Hevea brasiliensis (rubber tree). The record is from RNAcentral. Lineage: Eukaryota; Viridiplantae; Streptophyta; Magnoliopsida; Malpighiales; Euphorbiaceae.